Molecule: ribosomal RNA, 466 nt
Filed under: uncultured bacterium
Lineage: Bacteria
Description: bacterial SSU rRNA
Rfam family: Bacterial small subunit ribosomal RNA
Source: RNAcentral
GUCCAGACUCCUACGGGAGGCAGCAGUGAGGAAUAUUGGUCAAUGGGCUUACGCCUGAACCAGCCAAGUCGCGUGAGGGAUGACGGCCCUAUGGGUUGUAAACCUCUUUUGCCGGGGAGCAAAGUGCCGCACGUGUGCGGUUUGGAGAGUACCCGGAGAAAAAGCAUCGGCUAACUCCGUGCCAGCAGCCGCGGUAAUACGUAGGUGGCAAGCGUUGUCCGGAUUUACUGGGUGUAAAGGGCGUGCAGCCGGGAAGACAAGUCAGAUGUGAAAUCCCGCGGCUCAACCGCGGAACUGCAUUUGAAACUGUUUUUCUUGAGUAUCGGAGAGGUAAUCGGAAUUCCUAGUGUAGCGGUGAAAUGCGUAGAUAUUAGGAAGAACACCAGUGGCGAAGGCGGAUUACUGGACGACAACUGACGGUGAGGCGCGAAAGCGUGGGGAGCAAACAGGAUUAGAUACCCCGGUA